This is a non-coding RNA of Jatropha curcas, 107 nucleotides long. The record is from Rfam. NCBI's taxonomy places the organism in Eukaryota, Viridiplantae, Streptophyta, Magnoliopsida, Malpighiales, Euphorbiaceae.
CAGCCAUGGUGAGGGCACUGCAUUUGGACAUCCUGAUAUCUCUCCCGGGCCUCAAAAAGACUUUCAUCAGGUUUCUGCCUAAAGGUGGCAAUCUUUGUUUUCAACUU